Gasterosteus aculeatus aculeatus (three-spined stickleback) is the source of this 1116-nucleotide long non-coding RNA. Lineage: Eukaryota; Metazoa; Chordata; Actinopteri; Perciformes; Gasterosteidae. The record is from Ensembl.
GCCGAGCAAAAUGCCCGCUGGUCAAUCAUUUGCCAGAACAAAUUACAGACCCUUGAGCAAAGCUCUCACCAGGUCCACGUACCUGGUGAAGGACACAUCAGUACCUCCACACACACGAUCGAAAGCGGGUAUAAAAGCAUAACGAGACCGGAACAAAGAAAAGUAGAGUACUGCGCUGCACGAGGACACAACGCGAUGCCGACUUAGUGACAUCGAACAGAGACAGGUGGCAGCGGUCAGGACAAACUAUGUUUGUUGACUUCCCCCAUAUUGAAAAUUACACUUUUCAGGGACUCUGCCUCCUUGACCUCCUCUGCAACAUCCACAUCUUCCUCACCGGACGGCUGCACUCCCAAAGCAGCAGGUGGCGCCACUUCGACGGCUAUUGAUGGAGCAGAGUGGCAAGAGUGGCAGCGCUUGGACUCUUGCCCUGGAGCUUCUGACGUAGCUCCUGGUCCAGCAGCUGAGAGCACCUCCAGGUCUGACCCGGAGGAGGCUGCUGCCAGCUGACUCGCAUCUACGACUGCUGCAGCUUCACUAUGCGUUGCUGCCAAAGCUUCGGCUGCUACGUCAUCCACCCAUGUCUCCGCAUCGGGCGGCGUGUCAUCCAGAGGAGCAGCUUCAGCAGCAGUGGUGGCCUCCUCAGCAGGAGCAGCAUCUUCAGGUGGGGUAUCAGAAGAGGCGGCGGCUUCCUCCCGGACAGCUGCAGAGUCUGCAGUCUGGUCUUCAGACUGGACCUCCUCCUCCUUCUCCCCCUCCUCCUCCUCCACAGCCAGGACUGAAGUUGUAGCUUCCUCAGACAGAGACGCAGCCACCUCCUCCUCCAGCGCUGCCUCUACACUGGCAGCUGUCCCUUCUUCAACCAGCUGUUCAGCAUCUGCAGGCUUCGACUCCUCCUCGUUCACCAUGGUCACCUCUUGAGCUUCUUUGGCUACCUCCUCUGUGGUCGCUUCCACAGCUUCUGGUUCGACCACCUUCAGUGGAAAGUCCAAACCUUCCACCAGACUGUUCUCAACAGAAGCUGCCGCUAUCUCAAUCGGAGGGCCAGCCAAGACUUUCACUGCUGUGAGCAGAUCAGGCAAGGACUCUGAAUGAGAGGAGGACAGGAAGUAGUGG